CAAAGUCCAGAGGCAUCAACACUAAUUCACAUCCUACCCUGUUCCUAAAAGCUUCAGCGAGUUCUUUCCCUACAUAAUAAGAAAUUUAUAAGUUCUUCCUCAAUUAGUAGCCCUGACAGUGAGAUUUUGGGUGCCCUGGAUGCUGUCACUUUGCUGCCUUGCAUGUCAGCUCCUCACCUGACAAAGAAGAACAAUCCUACUCAUUUUCCCUUGCCCUGUUCAUCCCUCCAGACUCUCCAUCAGAGGCUCUGCUUCUCACUGGGACUUGCUGCUUGCCCAGCAUGCCUUAGUCAAUAAGCCAUAAGCACCAAGCUAAGAAGAACUGCUGUCAUCAGACAAAAAGGCCUCCAAGUCCACAUCCCUAACAACCUAUUUUAAUAACAAGAGCAAUAACGGGAUUUAUUAUGCAUGCGGCUUUCUGCAAUCAUUUCUGAAGAGAAAAUUAGUUUGAAGCCUCAGGCGACAGUUGAACUCUCAGAGGCGCCUAAAAUAAAAUAAGGAGGGGG
RNAcentral lists this long non-coding RNA (506 nucleotides) under Zonotrichia albicollis (white-throated sparrow). Its description in RNAcentral is "lncRNA (ENSZALG00000013472.1)". The record is from RNAcentral. Lineage: Eukaryota; Metazoa; Chordata; Aves; Passeriformes; Passerellidae.